AUGGGGAAGGUGAUACCCCUGAGAUCCUGCACGGAGCCUUCCGGCUUGCCCCCAUGGCUGCCAGACCACACCAUGAAGAACUCUGUAAAUGGAUUCAUCAAAGCAGGCAAAACGAGCCUCUUGACAGAAGUCAACCCGUUUCUUCUGACUCCCACUUUGUCACCCACAUCCUUCCCGGGAAUCUUCUUGCCCACUCUAAUCUCUCCAGUCCCAGCUCUUACAACGCCGUUCCUCACAUCCCCCGAUGGUCCUCCACCACCUCUUUUGUGCCCAGGAGUGUGCAUUUGCUGA
This 291-nucleotide long non-coding RNA is filed under the name Cricetulus griseus (Chinese hamster). Its description in RNAcentral is "lncRNA (ENSCGRG00000024152.1)". The record is from RNAcentral. Lineage: Eukaryota; Metazoa; Chordata; Mammalia; Rodentia; Cricetidae.